AGAUUUUUAUAAAUUCAGUUGCCUGGAUGCUGCUCCUGAAGGUUCCAGUUCAGUGGGUGUGUGGUAAGGCCUAUACUUUAGUAUUCUCAAAAAGCUUCACAGGUAGUUGUGACACACAGCUAAAAGCUGAGACAGGGUUUCACCAUAUUGGUCAGGCUAGUCUCGAACUCCUGACCUCGUGAUCUGCCCACCUUGGCCUCCCAAAGUGCUGGGAUUAUAGGCGUGAGCCACCGUGCCCAGCAUCACAGAUAUAUUUUUAUAUGUAAGAAGAUGGACCUCCAUUUUAAAAGUUCAAUCAUGUCAUCAAUGAUUUCAAGACAUGAAGUAGUAAAUGCAUCAACAGUCAACAUUUCUUAUCAAAGUAAUAAUACCACCAUUUAACACUUCCUUUAGACUGAGCACCG
This 404-nucleotide long non-coding RNA is filed under the name Pan troglodytes (chimpanzee). Its description in RNAcentral is "long non-coding RNA NONPTRT001156". The record is from RNAcentral. Lineage: Eukaryota; Metazoa; Chordata; Mammalia; Primates; Hominidae.